This 253-nucleotide ribosomal RNA is filed under the name uncultured bacterium. RNAcentral describes it as "partial 16S ribosomal RNA". It matches the Rfam family "Bacterial small subunit ribosomal RNA", at positions 524 to 776 of the family's 1533-position model. The record is from RNAcentral.
UACGCAGGGUGCAAGCGUUAAUCGGAAUUACUGGGCGUAAAGCGUGCGCAGGCGGUUGUGCAAGACAGAUGUGAAAUCCCCGGGCUUAACCUGGGAACUGCAUUUGUGACUGCACGGCUAGAGUGCGGCAGAGGGGGAUGGAAUUCCGCGUGUAGCAGUGAAAUGCGUAGAUAUGCGGAGGAACACCGAUGGCGAAGGCAAUCCCCUGGGCCUGCACUGACGCUCAUGCACGAAAGCGUGGGGAGCAAACAGG